AUUGAACGCUGGCGGCAUGCCUAACACAUGCAAGUCGAACGCGAAAGUCCUUUGGGGCGAGUAGAGUGGCGGACGGGUGAGUAAUGCGUGGGAAUCUGCCUGGCAGUGGGGGACAACCCGGGGAAACUCGGGCUAAUACCGCAUACGACCUACGGGUGAAAGGGGGGUUUCGGCCUCUCGCUGCGAGAUGAGCCCACGUCCGAUUAGCUAGUUGGCAGGGUAAGAGCCUACCAAGGCGACGAUCGGUAGCUGGUCUGAGAGGAUGAUCAGCCACACUGGGACUGAGACACGGCCCAGACUCCUACGGGAGGCAGCAGUGGGGAAUAUUGGACAAUGGGCGCAAGCCUGAUCCAGCAAUGCCGCGUGUGUGAAGAAGGCCUGCGGGUUGUAAAGCACUUUCAGUGGGGAAGAAGCGGCUUGGGUUAAUACCCUGGGCUGUUGACGUUACCCACAAAAGAAGCACCGGCUAACUCCGUGC
Molecule: ribosomal RNA, 478 nt
Filed under: uncultured freshwater bacterium LCK-22
Lineage: Bacteria
Description: bacterial SSU rRNA
Rfam family: Bacterial small subunit ribosomal RNA
Source: RNAcentral